RNAcentral lists this ribosomal RNA (159 nucleotides) under Gnathostoma spinigerum. RNAcentral describes it as "partial large subunit ribosomal RNA". Lineage: Eukaryota; Metazoa; Nematoda; Chromadorea; Rhabditida; Gnathostomatidae. The record is from RNAcentral.
UUUACUAGUAGUAAUGAAAAGAAUUACUCCAGAGUUAACAGAAAAUCAUAUCUUAUCUAGUUCUUAUAGUAAGAUAAGUUUUACAUCGAUGUUGUAUUUUAUUUUUGAAAGGGGUAGAAGAUUUUUGAAUUAGAGACUGUUCUUCUUGAGAUAAAUAAA